AGGAUUGUGGCUCAGUGGUAGAGCACUUGCCUAGCACACAAGAGGCAUUGGGUUCAAUCCUCAGCACUAUAU
RNAcentral lists this transfer RNA (72 nucleotides) under Marmota monax (woodchuck). Its description in RNAcentral is "tRNA.Ala". The stretch from base 1 to 62 matches the Rfam family "tRNA". From Rfam's summary of the family: Transfer RNA (tRNA) molecules are approximately 80 nucleotides in length. The record is from RNAcentral. Lineage: Eukaryota; Metazoa; Chordata; Mammalia; Rodentia; Sciuridae.